GGUGAGGUGAGGGAGGAGAGAGAGAGAGACAGAGAGAAGGAGGGGGGGCGGUCACGUGCUUUUGUUGACCAGUCGUAAAUUCUCGCCGAUGACUUUGGAGAGGUAAUUCAUGCUCUGAGGUUUCUAAUGAUGAAGGGGUGGGCGGGGGAAGCUCUCUCUCUCUCUCUCAUUCUCCUCCCCCUCUCCCCCUUCUCUCUCUCUCUCUCUCUCGCUCUCUC
Xyrichtys novacula (pearly razorfish) is the source of this 218-nucleotide non-coding RNA. The record is from the annotation of a GenBank genome assembly. Lineage: Eukaryota; Metazoa; Chordata; Actinopteri; Labriformes; Labridae.